This 37857-nucleotide long non-coding RNA is filed under the name Hordeum vulgare. RNAcentral describes it as "long non-coding RNA (HVUL_LNC007822)". The record is from RNAcentral. Lineage: Eukaryota; Viridiplantae; Streptophyta; Magnoliopsida; Poales; Poaceae.
UCCCACUCCACCAGUCCACACCGCAGCAGCACUCCAGUGAGCUCGAAACCGAGAGGGCAAGAAGAGGAGGAACCGAUACAGCACUACAGGCAACCAUGGAGGUGGUGACCGGCAGCAACGGCGGGAGGCUGAACCCGUGGGCGGAGCCCUUCGUGCCGGGGAGCUGGUGCCGCCCCGCCCCCGUGGAGGCUGCGGCGUCGGCGGAGGUCGAGGACUUCUCCCCCNNNNNNNNNNNNNNNNNNNNNNNNNNNNNNNNNNNNNNNNNNNNNNNNNNNNNNNNNNNNNNNNNNNNNNNNNNNUGGUGGCGCCUCGUCGCCUCCUCGCCGUCCUUCCGCGACAGCUGGCUCCGCGACUACGGCGACAUGGGUCUUCUGGACGCCGACGAGUGCCCGGACGACGGCGACGCCUUCUUCCCUCCUCCGGCGCUGCCGCGCAACGGUACGUGACCAGACCGGCCCAGAUCUACUACUUCUCUGCACCCUUUUCUUCACGGUUGUUGGCCUUGUUGUUAAACCUGCCACCGUGGUUCUCAGCAGAGGGAGAGGGGAGGAAGGAAGAAGCCGCCGUCAAGAAGAGUGGGGGCGAGGUGGCGCCCUGGGGGAUCGAGAAGUGGUGGCGGGCGCACGUCGCCUCGCCGCCGGAGGUCCCGAAGUACGCGGAGAAGGCGCCUGCUAAGGUCCUNNNNNNNNNNNNNNNNNNNNNNNNNNNNNNNNNNNNNNNNNNNNNNNNNNNNNNNNNNNNNNNNNNNNNNNNNNNNNNNNNNNNNNNNNNNNNNNNNNNNCUUAACAUAUUGGUCAGCCGUAGCGGGUGGUUCAUCUCCUAGCGCAGCAUUAAGGACAUAAUCCUUCUUCCCAGCUUGUAGGAUCAACUUAAGAUUACGGGCCCAGUCUACAAAGUUGCUUCCAUCAUCUUUCAACUUAGCUUUCUCUAGGAACGUAUUAAAAUUCAGGGUGACUGUCGCGUGAGCCAUGAUCUACAACACAAAUAUAUUCAAAGUGGACUUAGACUAUGUUCAAGAUAAUUAGAGUUUAACUUAAUCAAAUUAUUUGCUAAACUCCCACUCAAAAAUACAUCUCUCUAGUCAUUUGAGUGGUCCAUGACCCACUUACACUAGCUCAAGUAAGAUCAUCACGUGAGUUGAGUAUAGUUUCAGUGGAAAGCAUCCCUAUGCUAAUCAUAUCAACUAUAUGAUUCAUGAUCGACCUUUCGGUCUCAUGUGUUCCGAGGCCAUGUCUGCACAUGCUAGGCUCGUCAAGCUUAACCCGAGUGUUCCGCGUGUGCAACUGUUUUGCACCCGUCGUAUGUGAACGUUGAGUCUAUCACACCCGAUCAUCACGUGAUGUAUCGAAACGACGAACUGUAGCAACGACGCAAAGUUGGGGAGAACACAAUUUCGUCUUGAAAUUUUAGUGAGAGAUCACCUCAUAAUGCUACCAUCGUUCUAAGCAAAAUAAGGUGCAUAAAAGGAUUAACAUCACAUGCAAUUCAUAAGUGACAUGAUAUGGCCAUCAUCACGUGCUUCUUGAUCUUCAUCACCAAAGCACCGGCACGAUCUUCUUGUCACCGGCGUCACACCAUGAUCCUCCAUCAUCAUGAUCUCCAUCAACGUGUCGCCAUCGGGGUUGUCGUGCUACUCAUGNNNNNNNNNNGUCCAUCACCAAAGCACCGGCACGAUCUUCUUGUCACCGGUGCCACACCAUGAUCUCCAUCAACGUGUCGCCAUCGGGGUUGUCGUGCUACUCAUGCUAUUACUACUAAAGCUACAUCCUAGCAAAAUAGUAAACACAUCUGCAAGCACAAACGUUAGUUAUAAAGACAACCCUAUGGCUCCUGCCGGUUGCCAUACCAUCGACAUGCAAGUCGAUAUUAACUAUUACAACAUGAUCAUCUCAUACAUCCAAUAUAUCACAUCACAUCGUUGGCCAUAUCACAUCACAAGCAUACCCUGCAAAAACAAGUUAGACGUCCUCUAAUUUUGUUGUUGCAUGUUUUACGUGGUGACCAUGGGUAUCUAGUAGGAUCNNNNNNNNNNNNNNNNNNNNNNNNNNNNNNNNNNNNNNNNNNNNNNNNNNNNNNNNNNNNNNNNNNNNNNNNNNNNNNNNNNNNNNNNNNNNNNNNNNNNAGGAUCAUUGCCUUAGAUAUCGUCAUGACUUUGCUCGGUUCUAUCAAUUGCUCGACAGUAAUUUGUUCACCCACCGUGAUAUUUGCUAUUUUGAGAGAAGCCUCUACUGAACACUAUGGCCCCUGGGUCUACUCCACACCAUAUUUUUAGCCUUACACUUUUUACUUCGUUGCACUUUCUGCCUUCAGAUCUCACUUUGCAAACAAUCUUGAAGGGAUUGACAACCCCUUUGAAGCGUUGGGUGCAAGCUUGUUUGUGUUUGCGCAGGUACUCUGGACUUGACGAGACCCUCCUUCUUGAUCGAUACAUUGGUUCUCAAACUGAGGGAAAUACUUACUGCUCUUCUGUUGCAUCACCCUUUCCUCUUCAAGGGAAAAACCGACGCAAACCAGAGAAGUAACAAGAAGAAUUCCUAGCGCCAAGGAAGGACUUUUGUUGCCGUAGCAGAGGGCCAGUGUUGGUCCUAAACAGAGCACUAUGCGGGUCCAACCCAGGGCAACUUGGGUGAUUUCUAUCAGGCCACCGUACGCGUCGCUUAUCCGUCGUGUCCUGAGAACGAGAUACGCAACUCCUAUCGGGAUCGUCGACACGUCAGGCGGCCUUGCUGGACUUGUUUUAUCUUUCUCGAGCGUCUUGUGCGAGGGAUUCCGAGGACAGUUUGGGCUAUCUCGAGGUUGAGCAUUUCCAAUAGGAACCCGAGGAGAUCACGGGCUUCCCUGAUCGAGGUCUUUCCAUCGCAGCGUGUGGUAGUUUGUAACGGCUAGUUGGAGCACCCGUGCAGGGUUAAUCUUUCGGAAAGUCGUGCCCGCAGUUAUGUGGCAACGUGGAAACUUUGUUUAACAUCCGGUUCUAGAUAACUUGAAGUAAGCUUAAUUAAAAUAUUUCAUGAGCUCCUUCUCCGGUCGAGGACAUGGUGGGGUUAUGUCUGACGUAAGUAGGUGUUCAGGAUCAUUCAUUGAUCAUCAGUAGCUCACGUCCGCUAUGCGUAGAUCUUUCCCCCUCUUUUAUUCUUGUAAUCGUAAGUUAGCCAUCUCAAAUAAAUGCUUAGUCGCGUGCUGCAGCCUCACCACUUAACCAUACCUCACCCAUUAAGCUUUGCUAGUCUUGAUACCUUUGGUAAUGAGAUUGUUGAGUCCGUGUGGCUCACAGAUUACUACAACACCAGUUGCAGGUACAGGUAAAGGAUAUUAAGAUGUGAGCCCGAUGAUUGUGCUAUUUGCAGUUUCUUCUUCUUCUUCAUCGAUCUAGGAUGGGUUCCAGGCCGCAGCCUGGGAUAGCAAGGAUGGACGUCAUUCUUUUAUCGUUUGUUUUCAUCUGUAGUUAGACCCUGAUCUUCUUCAUGAUGAGUGUUUAUGUUGUUGUAUUGAUGUGACUCUGAUGUAGCUUGUAGCGAGUGUAAGCCAACUCUUUAUACUCAUCUUUUGAGUACAUGUACUUGUAACGAUAUCCAUUCUUGCGAAACGACGAGAUGUGUUUCUAUCCCUGUCGAGGCCCUCACGCCAAAAUAAUUAUAGGACCGCAUCUUGGGUGUUACAAGUUGGUAUCACAGCAGUACCAACCUAGGAGCCCCCUUGAUUGAUCGAACUUGGUCGAGUCGAGUCUAGUGAAAAACUACUUUGAGUCUAGUUAUAUAUCGGAGAGUAGGAUUCUUUUUCUCCUCUUCUAUGCUCUGGUGAGGAACCUUGACGUGAUAAUUUUAAUUCUACUCCUCUUCUCACUAAAAAAAAAAUAGGAUCACGCGGAUAUUUUUGGAAUCUAUAUGAUGUCGAUCUGACAUAGUUCUGACUUGGUGCCUCCUGAUGUGUUGACUUUAUUCUGGGAAUUUGAGCUCGAGGGGAUUCUUGAGCACAUCGUUAUCAUUCAGAUUAAUUAGUAUCUCAGGACAGAGGAUGUUUGAAAUUGCUUCAAUACUAGUAGUGGCGAGAUAACCCCGGCAUCCCCAGUACUGGUGCACAGAGUUCAAGGGUACUGCCAUACUUAGUAUCGUUGUGUUUUCGAGGGUCUCGGAUAGAUGAGUUUCCAAGGUCUGUGGUUAUGUGUUGACGGAUGUGAUACAUUGGACGAGUUGUGUUAUUGCUAAUAGUUGAGUGAUGGAUUUUACUCCUUGUAUCCGUGGACCCGAUUGCAUGACCAGAAAAUUUCGGGAGUUCUUAGGUGGGAAUUCAAGUAGUUACUUAUAGGACAAUCUUCCAACAGAUGCACGAUGUGAGGUUGGGGUUCGACAUCUAGUGGAUUUGUUUGUUCACGGUCGUCUUACAUCGGUUCUCCUUGUGUCUUAAAGAGUCCUUGUAGCUUGGUAUGACUCGGGGACGCUUCGUAUGUCAUGUGCACUGCCUUGUACCUGAUGGCUACUGUAGGAUAGAGCCCGUGAGAUCCUAUCCACGAAAAUAUCGAACGAAAUAUGUGUCAUGAAUUUGUUCCGGCUUGUGUUGUAAGCCUCAUCCUUUUUUGCCGGAAUACGGUAAUUCGAGUUUCUUCGAUGUGAAGUGGUGAUUUCAUAUCUUUCCUAAGAGGUGUUCUCAUAUUUUUAUGGGAAUGCUGAUUCGUUUGCUCAAUCAAGUUGUCUUAUCAAUUCUUCUUAGCCGGUGUACUUUUCUUUAAGCAAUUCUAUCCUCUCCAAUUUUGCAAGAUCAAUCUCUCAUUUCUUUCCGGGGUUUGUCUCAUCUGCCCCAAGUUGUCUUGUUUUUCCCGCCCUCCCGCCCCUUUUUCUUCAGUGAUUCAAUUAUCAUCCAAGUGCAUUACAUUUCAUUGUUGCUUCUGCUCUCUUCUCUUCUGUGUCGUAUCCGGUGAUUCAUUGUGAAGAUUCUCAGGAGUUCUGAGUUCAUCAUUUUUCAUUCGUGUUCUCUUUUCCGGUGAAUUCAAUUCAAGCUAUCUGUGUUCAUCAUAUCCUUUUCAUCCUUUAAAUUCUUUCCCAUGUUAAAAAAUCUUAUCAAGUCUUUCUUGGUUUCAUCCAUCUCUGUUCUAUCCGGUGUGUUGAAGAUUCUCAGAAGUUCCUUGUUUUCAGUCCUUUCCAUUAUUUUGAGGUUCUAGCCCCAUCAAGUUUUUCAUUUAUAUGGGUGUAAUCAAUCUUUCUUAGCAAUCCCUUAAUCGGUGUUUCUUUUGAGUGGGCCCAUAACCCACACGUUCUUUCCCAGGUCUUAUCUAACUCUUGUAAUCUUUUCCGAAGAUCUCUAGUUCUUUUCAAUUAUGACGUAAGUAUGAAUUUCAUCAGUCAUAUCCCUUAUCUAAGCCAUUUCAAAUUUAUUCCCCUCAUUGGCUCAACUUUUCAUAUUCUUAUUCCGGAGUGUCUCAUUUAUUCUUGGUGGUGUUCUCCUUAUCAUUUUCAGCUUGGAAGACCGAAGGAGUGUUUCUCUCAAACAUUGGUCCAUUCUCUUGAAGAUUCAUCAUUUCAUCUUUGUGUUAUCAUCUUGAAUUAUUUCCAAUCAUGAGUAAUCCCUUUCUUGCUAUAUGGUGCAUUUCAUAUUUGUUUUCAUUCUUGAGCCUCCGAAGGCCUUCAUUUCAGAAGAUUUCUUCGUUCAUAGCUUUCAGCUUUCAUUCUCAAAUUCUUCUCAAUUGUUGCCUCUUCGUUCAUCACUCAAUUAUUCCGGUGCCUUGUUGAAGUUUUCUGUUAGGUGGACCAUGGUCUCUUCAUUCUCAGGUGUUAUUAAAGAUCUUGUGGUAGUACCUCAAGUAUUCUUUCUCUGCAUUUCAAAGUGCAAUUCUUCCGCAUUUAUCCUUUGUGGUGGUAUUAUAGCAUUCUCGUGAGUGGAGGAGUCUCGAAGAGAAUUUGUUUCAAGAAUGAGAUAUUUAAAUCCACUAAUUCCUUGGCCAUGAGUUAUUUUAACCCAUGAUUUCUUCAUUGAGCUAUCUUGGUUUAAAUUUCACCUAAAGCUUUUUUCUAAGGAUUGUGCCUAUUAUGGUGAUUAUCGUUGACCCAAGUUCUCAAUAUAUCCUCUAGGUGUAAGAAGUUUUUCCUUUCUUGUUGCUGUCAAUCAAUCCUUGUUUCUGUUAGUGGAUGGUUGUCACCUCAUUAUUUUGGGGUGGUUUUCAUAGGUCCACUACAAGCUUGUUCUUUUCGUUGUUGGUUUUCCAACAACUCUGUUCCGUUCUUCUUGCAAGGAUGCUUGCCAAAUUCAAUUGUGGUAGUAGUUGUCAAUUUCUUCUUCAUUCUUUCUUCUCAAUGAUCUAGUUUCUAUUCUCUUGUUCCGGAGAUGUUGUCAUGUUGCUCUUGUUAUUCAAUCAUCUUGGGUUGUCAAGAUCAUAUUCCUUCAUUCCUUCUCAAUUUAGUUGGUUUGUUGUGAAUGUUGUCAAGAUCUUUCCAUCUUAUCAAACUUUUGUCCUCAAUUUCCUAUCGAAGUGUUGCUGAAAUUUCUUCUGAAUUCUUGCUUGUUUCUCAUGUCAUUCUUCAUCUCUUUGCAACCAUCAAGAUUCAUUGGUUUCACUCGUUUGUCAAACAAGCGACUAGGUUUUACCUCUUGCUUUAUCAUCCUCUUCCCAUUUUCAUUCUUAGAUCUCGGGGCGAGAUCUCUUGUUAGUGUAGGAGAGUUGUGACAGCCCGAGACCGACGCUCCAGAAGAUUCCCCUUUUAUUCUGUUGUCGCCUGUGAUUAUUUGUUCAUCCCAUCAUGCGCAUCAUCUGUAUUGCAUUGGCACUCUGUUGCCUCCAAUUUUCAAAAUUGCAUCCAUUAUUAGUUGUCGCUUCUCUCCGUUUUUUGUCGUUGACCGUUCUGAGACCAACCACACACACGCGCGCCCGCGGCAUCGUUAAAAUCUUGUUUUUAAAAGUGCGUGAAAAAUAUUCUCGGAUUGGGUUGAAACUUGUCGUGCGGUCUUAUUUUCAUGUAGGUAGGCCGCGUGCCAAAUUUCAUUGGAAUCAAAGUCCGCUCGAUACCCGAACGGUCGACCGUAGCAGCACCGUCAUCGGUUUAUCGUUGGACAUUUUUUGGUGUUUAUAAAUCUCGUUGCCGGGCCAGAUAACCCCUCUCUUCUCUCAGCCCAUCAUGGUUACAUAUCCCACCUAGCCAAUUAACAUCAUCCCCACGUUCGGAGUCGUCCGAUCGAGAUCGUACGGCUCGAAAACAGACUAAUUUCCCUAACCCUAACCCCCCUUCCCUAUUUACAGAGCCCUCCAUGCCUAAUUUGAACAGCCAGCCCCUUGCCUCAGGAUCUGCGCCCCCACAAACCCUAGCCACCACCUAGUCGCCUCUCUCCCACCUCCUCCAGCACCGUCGGGCCGCGAAGCCCAUUUGGAGCCUGCCUUGGGCCCGAGCCGCUACCCGAAGCCUCGCAGCCCCGAGCUCCCCUAGGUGCCCCGACCAGCCCCGCCGCCGGAUGCCCCGCCUUCGGCCGAGCCAGCCGCCGGUGCCCCGCCGCCGCGACCGGCCACUGGGUGUGAGGCCGCCCUGCCGGAGCUCCCCUAGGCUGGAUCCCGCACCCUCGAGCUGCCUCCUCUACAUGGUUCUCGAGUUGUUCAUCCCGAGACCACUGCCCCGGUUCGAUCUCGCCUUGCCAGUCGCUGGUGCACCGUUCGAGGUUGCCAACCUCCAGAUCGCGCCAGUCCACGUCCGAUCCGGACCUUCCCGUGCUCAGAUCCGCCCCAAGAUCUCCCCAUGGCCGCCAAGCUCCGUCGUUGACCUGCCAUGGUCGUGUUCCUGCUAUCCCUGCGGGAGAACGGGGAUGCCCCCCGUUGUCCACGCUGUGGGCCGCCAGCCGACCGGCCCAGCGCCCAGGCCUGGUUCGGCCAUCCUAUCCCGUGGGCCGCCGUGCGUUCCAUGGCCCAGAUCGGCCAGCUUCGACUCCGCGUGAGCCGACGCAACGACCAGCCAGAUUCGGCCGAGUUGGCGCGAGGUGAGCAUCCCUGUGCCUGCCCUAUAAUGCGACGUAGGCGCUAGAUUAUUAUCUUGCGCCGCGUGCUAUUUUAGACCAUCAGAUUGUUUCGGCCCGAGUAGUUUUGUUUCUUUAAACCUGGGAUUUAAUUCUUUUUUAGAAAAACGCAUGUUUUUCAAACCCUGUAGUUUUUAAACCGUGCGUCAGAUCGCGACAAGUUAUAUAUGUAGAACGUGUAGAAUUUUGUGUAGAUUAAUAUUUUCCAACUCUCAUGCAUAUUUAUAACUGUUAGAUGUGUUGUUUGCAUUGGUUUUGUGUGACAACGUGUUACAAACGGUUUAGAUCAUAGUUAUUUAUCCAUACCUCCGUUGGAGAUGAGCCAUAUAUGUAAAUGGACUAGAACGAUGAGUAGAAUCAAGUGAACCACUUAGGUUUGCCGUUUAACAAACAUAAAAUGUGACCAGGGAAAAUCUGGACAUAUUACAAAGUUAAUGCGUGGGGUCGUUUCGGAAAUGCUAUAUGUCGUUUUCGGCCUCAUUUAAAAUGCCUAGAUAGGUAGUUUAUUUGUGCUUAAUCCUCGUGCCAUGUUUAACAACAUUUAAUAUUGUUGCGUAAAUAAACGGAAUUGAACUAAAUAAUUUGUAUGUGGAGUUUCGUCAAUAUGCAACUCGUUGCAUAUUAAGCUUUGAUGACCCAGAAGUAUAGGGGAUCAAUCGUAGUCCUUUCGAUAAGUAAGAGUGUCGAACCCAACGAGGAGCAGAAGGCUGUGAUAAACGGAUUUCAACAAGGUAAUAACUGCAAGCACUGAAAGUAGCGGUAACAAGUGAUAGUGUAGCAAGGUGAAAUGUAACAAGUGAAAAGUAACAAGUAACAAGUAGUAGCAACGGUGCAGCAAGUGGCACAAUCCCUUUUGUAGCAAGGGACAAGCCUGAACAAAGUCUUAUAGGAGGAACAACGCUCCCGAGGACACACGAGAAUUUCGGUCAUGCUAGUUUCAUCAUGUUCAUAUGAUUCGCGUUCGUUACUUUGAUAGUUUGAUAUGUCGGUGGACCGGCACUUGGGUACUGCCCUUACUUGGACAAGCAUCCCACUUAUGAUUAACCUCUUUCGCAAACAUCCGCAACUAAAAAAGAAGAAUUAAGACAACGUCUAACCAUAGCAUUAAACUAGUGGAUCCAAAUUAGCCCCUUACGAAGCAACGCAUAGACUGGGGUUUAAGCUUCUGUCACUCCAGCAACCCAUCAUCUACUUACUACUCCCCAAUGCCUUCCUCUAGGCCCAAAUAUGGUGAAGUGUUAUGUAGUCGACGUUCACAUAACACCACUAGAGGAAAAACAACAUACAACAUAUCAAAAUACCGAACGAAUAUCAAAUUCACAUGACUAUUAUCAGCAUGACUUAUCCCAUGUCCUCAGGAACAAAAGUAACUACUCACAAAGCAUAAUCAUAAUCAUGAUCAGAGGUGUAAUGAAUAGCAUCAAGGAUCUGAACAUAAACUCUUCCACCAAGUAAUCCAACUAGCAUCAACUACAAAGAGUAAUCAACACUACUAGUAACCUUACAAGUACCAAUCGAAGUCGCGAGACGAAGAUUGGUUACAAGAGAUGAACUAGGGAUUGGAGAGGAGAUGGUGCUGAUGAAGAUGUUGAUGAAGAUGCCUCCCCUCCGACAAAAGGAGUGUUGGUGAUCACGAUGGCGACGAUUUCCCCCUCUGAGAGGGAAGUUUCCUCGGCAGGAUCGUCCUGCCGGAGCUCUAGAUUGGAUCUGCUCAAGUUCCGCCUCGUGGCGGCGGCGAAACCACGAAAAAGCUCCCGAUUGAUUUUUUUCUGGAACGAAAUCCUUCAUAUAGCAAAAGAGGGGGCUAGUGGGCCGUCAGGGAGCCCACAAGCUUGCCCUCCGCCACCAGGGGGUGGCGGUGGUAGGGCUUGUGGCGUCCUGGCAGCCCCCCUAUGGUACUUCUUUCUACCAGUAUUUUUUAUAUAAUCCCAAAAAAUUCCACGUAACUUUUAGGGCAUUUGGAGAUGUGCAGAAUAGUGGACUAAGAUUUGCUCCUUUUCCAGUCAAGAAUUCCAGCUGCCUGAAUUCUCCCUCUUCAAAUAAACCUUGCAAAAUAAGAGAGAAAAGGCAUAAAUAUGGUGCCACAAAGUAAUAUAACAGCCCAUAACGCAAUAAAUAUCAAUAUGAAAGCAUGAUGCAAAAUGGACGUAUCAACUCCCCCAAGCUUAGACCUCGCUUGUCCUCAAGCGAAAACCAAGUUCCAUAAACAUGUCCACAUGUUUAGGGACGAAGGUGUCGAUAAAACAUAAUACGGACAUGAGGGCAUCAUGAUCACACAUAGAACAGCAAUACAUCAUAAAGAUUCUUAUGGGAAAGUAACAAUUCCUUCACAAAGCAAAGCAUGAAGCAAAAACCUUACCGAGAAGUCUCCAACAACAGUCCAAAGUCAUUGAAGCAAUUGCAAUCUAUCACAACAUCAGAAAGAGUCAAAUAAGAUCUUGUAAGGAAAACCCACAUACUCAAUCAUUUCUUUUGUUUUCCACAAUUGUUACAACUCACGGGGUACUCAUGGUGUCAAAGUUUCAGCUGGACACACAGGAAGAUAGGGGCUUAUAGUUUUGCCUCCCAAUGAUUUACCUCAAGGGUAAAGUCAACAAUAAUAAAGCAUAAGUACUCAACUCCAAGUUGAUAUAUGAAUAUAGAUCUUUCCCAAGCAUGUGACGGCAGCCAAGACAAAGGCAAAAAUAGGGAAUUGGUGAAGAUCACCAUGACUCUUACAAGGGUAAAAAGUAAAGGUACAAGAUAGGCCCUUCGCAGAGGGAAGCAGAGGUUGUCAUGCGCUUUUGAGGUUUGAAUGUGUGUCGUCUUAGUGCGGAGGAACAUCACUUUAUAUUGCCUCCUGUGAUAAAGAACUUUAUUAUGCAGUCUGUCGCUUUUAUGUCUUCCUCAUCACAGGUUCGUACAAAGCUUAUUUUCCACACACUAAUAUAUCAUACAUAUUAGAGAGCAAUUUUUAUUGUUUGCACCGAUGACAACUUACUUGAAGGAUCAUAUUCAAUCCAUAGGUAGGUAUGGUGGACUCUCAUGGCAAAACUGGGUUGGAGGUUUAUGGAUGCACAAGUAGUAUCUCUACUUGGUGCGGGAGUUUUGGCUAACAUGAGGUGGAAGCGAUCGUCACACACUAAGGGAUCUCUAAUCAUAUAACAUUGUUUGGAACCAAGAAAACACAAUUCAUUAUGUUGUCUUCCUUGUCCAACAUCUACUCCUAAGCAUGUAAUAGUUUCGUGAGUGCUCACAAUUGUAAAAAGUGUCUAAGAUGAUAUAUUUAUAUGUGAACCUCUCUUUCCUUAUUACUUCUUAUUAAUUGCAACAAUGACUGAGGUCUAUGUUGAUUUAUUCUCAACAAGUUUCAAUCAUCAUGCGUGUCAUAUGUGAAGCUAUCACUUUCCAUAAGAUCGUCUCAUGAUCUUUCAUGCUAUCGUUCUUUUUGUACUUUUGAUCAUGGCACAAAGCAAAGCCCUUGACUAAGAUACUCUUUAUUAUAUAGCUCGCAAGCUCGAAUACAUCGGGGGAGAGACAAAGCAAAAGAUUCAAACUAAACACUAAAGACUUAUUCCUCUAAGAGAAGAAAUAAAAACUGAAAAAGGAAAGAACUAAAACAAAGGUAAAAGCAAAAGAUAUAAAGGUGAUACGAUACCAGGGCAACUCCCCCAAGCUUGGCAGAAGCCAAGGGGAUUGACCAUACCAAUGCUUAGUUGUCUUCCUUUGGUGGUAAUGGUGGUGGAGUUGUUGAAGCAGUCUGAUCCUCCGUCUUCCAAGGCAUAGGUGCUCCAUCAUGGCAGGAUGAACGAGUCGCCGGAAUCCUCAAAUCUGCAGCCAACCUUAUUGAUUUAAAUUUGUACUCAUACUCACAGUUUUGGUUCUACAGGUCAUAGAUCUAGCCCCGAAGUUGAUCAACCCUGUCAUAGAGCUUGGAGAGGUGUUUCCCAAUGUCAAUGGCAUCCAUCUUGUGAUUGCUAGUGAACUCCGUGAUCAUCAUGUGGUUGGCGUUGAGUCCACGCUCCACCAUCCCUAGGCACUUGAAGACUUGUUGCUCCAUUCUUCGAGCCUCGUCUCCAUGCUUCCAAUCUUCUUAGGCCCCUCAACAUCACGGAUGUGCAACACCCCCUCGCUCGUCUUGAUAGAUUGAGGGUGUUUCAGCACUUCCGUGAGGUAGGGAUUGAUGACCUUCUCGAAGAUCUUGUCCUUAAGAGCGUUUGGGGAAGUCAUGAUGAUCUAGAUCUAUCACAGAAAUAGGCUCGAAACAAAAACAGAGGAAAACUGCGUGAUACGGAGAUCAAAACCUUCGGGCGAAUAUAUAUUUAUUUUUUCUGGACCAGAAGGAGUGCUCCGCAAGAAAACGGAGUCUGGGAGGCACACGAGGUGCCCACAAGCCCUCCCUCCGCCACCAGGGGGGUAGGGGCGGUGUCCAAGCUUGUGGUCGCCUCGUGCGCUCUCCGGACUGCUUUUUAUUUUUCUAAUUUUCCAAAAAUUCCAAAAUGGAGGAAAUUUGCUAUUGGAAAAGCAUCAGAGUCCAAUUUCUUACCGAAACAGAUACCUCUUCGUUUUCAGGGUGUGAAACAGGCUGAUAAACAUCCCUUAUGUACUCCUCUGGAGUUAUGACAUUGAUGAUAUUGGUCUCAACAUUUAUGGGAGUACCAGAGAUGUAAUGCUUGAUUCUUUCCCCAUUUACCACUCUAGGAAAAUUUCCUUCCGUGUUAUUGAUUUUGAUGGCACCGGAACGAUAUACUUCCUCGAUAACAUAAGGACCUUCCCAUUUCGAGAGAAGCUUGCCUCCAAAGAAUCUCAAACAAGAAUUGUAUAGCAAGACAUAAUCACCUACAUUGAACUCUCGUUUCUGUAUUCGUUUGUCGUGCCAUCUCUUAACCUUUUCCUUGAACAACUUGGCAUUCUCAUAUGCAUGGGCCCUCCAUUCAUCUAACGAGCUGAUAUCAAACAACCGCUUCUCACCGGCAAGUUUGAAAUCAAAGUUGAGCUCUUUGAUUGCCCAAUAAGCUUUGUGUUCCAGCUCAAGAGGUAAAUGACAGGCCUUACCGUAAACCAUUUUAUACGGCGACAUGCCCAUGGGAUUCUUAUAGGCAGUCCUAUAAGCCCAUAGUGCAUCGUCAAGUUUGCUAGACCAAUUCUUUCGAGAUCUAUUGACGGUCUUUUGUAGGAUCAAUUUGAUCUCCCUAUUACUCAACUCCACUUGACCACUAGACUGAGGAUGAUAAGGAGAUGCAACUCUAUGGUUGACAUCAUACUUAGCGAGCAUCUUGCGGAAAACACAAUGAAUGAAGUGUGAACCGCCAUCAGUCAUCAAAUAUCUAGGGACUCCAAAUCUUGCGAAUACGACUUCUUUAAGCAUCUUAAUAGAGGUGUGGUGAUCAGCAUUUUUAGUGGGGAUAGCUUCUACCCACUUAGUGACGUAAUCCACAACAACUAAGAUGUGAGUGUACCCAUUGGAACUCGGGAAAGGUCCCAUAUAAUGAAAGCCCCAGACAUCAAAUGGUUCAAUGACAAGUGAAUAGUUCAUAGGCAUUUCCUGACGCUUACUGAUGUUCCCUAUUCUUUGGCAUUCAUCACAAGACAAGACAAACUUACGGGCAUCCUUGAAGAGAGUGGGCCAAUAGAAACCUGAUUGCAAUACCUUAUGGGCAGUUCUAUCUCCAGCGUGGUGUCCUUUGUAGGCUUCGGAAUGACACUUCUGCAAGAUCUGUCCCUGUUCAUGUUCAGGCACACAACGUCUAAUAACACCAUCUACUCCUUCCUUAUAAAGGUGGGGAUCAUCCCAAAAGUAGUGUCUCAAAUCAAAGAAGAAUUUCUUCUUUUGCUGAUAGGUGAAACUAGGUGGUAUGUAUUUGGCUACGAUAUAAUUUGCAUAAUUGGCAUACCACGGUGCACUAUGUGAAGUGCGGAUGACAUUUAAUUGCUCAUCAGGAAAGUUUUCAUCAAUAGGUAGUGGGUCAUCAAGGACAUUCUCUAGCCUAGACAAGUUAUCUGCUACAGGGUUAUCAGCACCCUUUCGGUCAACGACGUGCAAAUCAAAUUCCUGUAGCAGGAGAACCCAUCUGAUAAGCCUAGGCUUAGUGUCCUUCUUCUCCAUAAGGUACUUAAUAGCAGCAUGAUCAGAGUGAAUAGUGACUUUGGAGUCAACUAUAUAAGAUCUAAACUUUUCACAUGCAAACACGACUGCUAAAAACUCCUUUUCCGUAGUGGCAUAGUUUCUUUGGGCACUGUCUAGAGUUUUACUAGCGUAGUGAAUAACAUUCAACUUCUUGUCAACUCUUUGUCCUAGAACAGCACCAACAGCAUAAUCACUAGCGUCACACAUGAUUUCAAAGGGCAAGUUCCAAUCAGGUGGUUGAACAAUGGGUGCGGUUAUCAAAGCCUUCUUAAGUAUUUCAAAGGCUUCCUCACAAUCCUCAUCAAAAACAAAAGGUACAUCCUUCUGCAAGAGGUUGGUAAGAGGCCUAGAAAUCUUAGAGAAGUCUUUAAUGAACCUUCUAUAGAAACCAGCAUGACCUAGGAAACUUCGUAUACCUCUGAUAUCUGUGGGGCAAGGCAUUUUCUCAAUUGCAUCAACCUUAGCCUUAUCAACUUCAAUGCCUCUUUCAAAAAUCUUGUGUCCUAAAACGAUGCCUUCAUUAACCAUAAAGUGGCACUUCUCCCAAUUCAAGACGAGGUUGGUAUCUUCGCAUCUCUGUAAGACUCAAUCAAGGUUGCUGAGGCAAUCAUCAAAGGAAGACCUAUAAACGGAGAAGUCAUCCAUGAAAACCUCGACAAUCUUUUCACAAAAGUCAGAGAAUAUAGCCAUCAUACAUCUUUGAAAGGUGGCAGGUGCAUUGCAUAAGCCAAAAGGCAUACGUCUAUAAGCAAAGGUACCGAAGGGGCAGGUGAAAGUAGUUUUCUCCUGAUCAGAUUGUGCAACAGGUAUUUGCGAGAAACCUGAAUAACCGUCUAGAAAGCAAAAGUGUGUGUGUUUUGAUAGCCUUUCUAGCAUUUGGUCGAUGAACGGCAAAGGAUAAUGGUCUUUCCUGGUUGCCUUGUUCAGUUUCCGGAAGUCUAUCACCAUCCUAUAGCCGAUAAUAAUCCUUUGUGGGAUUAGUUCAUCCUUAUCAUUAGGAACGACGGUGAUACCUCCCUUCUUAGGUACGCAAUGUACUGGACUUACCCAAUCACCAUGAGCAACAGGAUAAAUGAUUCAUGCUUCCAGAAGCUUUAAUAUUUCUUUUCUCACGACCUCUUUCGUCUUAGGAUUUAAUCUCCUUUGAUGAUCAGCAACUGGUUUAAAGUCAGGAUCGGUUUUAAUCUUGUGGUGACAUAGAGUGGGACUAAUACCCUUAAGAUCAUCAAGAGUAUAUCCAAUAGAAGCACGGUGCUUCCUCAGAGUUCUUAGUAACUUCCUCUCUUCGUGCUGUGAGAGGAGAGCGCUAAUAAUAACAGGAUAUAUCUCCUUCUCAUCAAGAUAGGCAUACUUAAGAGUAUCUGGCAACUGUUUAAGCUCGAACACAGGAUCACCCUUUGGUGGGGGAGGAUCCCCAAGCAGUUCAACAAGCAGAUUAUUCUUGAGAAUAGGAUAUUGUUCUAAGAAAAUUUUAUCUAUCUCAUCUCUCUCCUCCAUAUGCAUAUCAUUUUCAUGCUCAAGAAGAUAUUGCUCUAAAGGAUUCGUAGGAGGUACGGCAAUAGAGGCAAGAGCAAUGAUUUCAUCCCUACCAGACGACUCUCUUUCAUGGGGUUGUCUUUCAAACUUGGAGAAGUUAAAUUCAUGAGACACACCCUCGAAACUAACUGUGACGGUCUGCUUAAUGCAAUCAAUGUGAGCAUUGACAGUGUUGAGAAAGGGUCUACCAAAUAUGAUGGGACAAAAGCUAUCUUGUGCAGUACCAAGGACGAGGAAAUCAGUAGGAUGCUUCGUCUUACCACACAGAACUUCUACUUCUCUCACAAUUCCCAGAGGGUAGAUAGUGUCUCUAUUAGCUAGCGUAAUAGUGACAUCAAUGGGUUCUAACUCAGCAGGUGCAAUCUCAUCUUUGAUUACAUCAUAUAGGGAACGGGGUAUUGCACUAACACUAGCUCCCAUAUCACAUAAACCAUGGUAACAGUGAUCUCCUAUCUUGACAGAAACAACGGGCAGGCCAACUACAGGUCCGUAUUUAUCUUUCGCGUGAGGUUUAGCAAUUCUAGCGGAGUCCUCACAGAAUUUGAUAACAUGCCCGUCUAUGUCUUCAGCUAAGAGAUCUUUGAUAAUAGCAACACUAGGUUCAACUCUAAUUUCCUCAGGGGGUGCAAGUGGUCUAAUGUAAUCCUACGUAUCACAGUUGGAGCUUUAGAAUAAUCCUUUAUCCUAGCAGGGUAUGGUGGUUUCUCAGUGUAUGCACAAGGAACAACAGGAUCACUAAAAGCAAUGACUUUCUCCUCAACUAGAUUGGUUUUGGCUAUGUUGCUUUCUACAGGAGGAUCAUAUUUUAAACCACUUCUCUUUGGGAAGAUCAACAUGAGCAGCAAAAUAUUCACAUAGAGAAGCUACUAUCUCAGAGUCAAGUCCAUACUUAGCGCUAAAAUCUCUAGAAGUGUUUGUCUCAACAAAAGAUUUAACGCAAUAAAACUAGAAAUUCAUACCUGACUCCUUACCUUCCUCUAGCUCCCAAUCUUCAGAGUUGCGUUUGAUUCUUUCCAAUAAAUUCCACUUGUGAUCAAUAUCCUUCUUCAUAAAAGAACCGGUACAAGAAGUGUCAAGCAUGGUACGAUCUUCAUGAGAAAGCCGAGCAUAAAAGUUUUGAGUGAUGAUUUCUCUCGAGAGCUCAUGAUUCGGGCAUGAAUAUAGCAUUGAUUUAAUCCUCCCCCAAGCUUGAGCUAUGCUUUCCCUAUCACGAGGCCAAAACUUAUAAAUAAAGUUCCGAUCACGAUGUACUAAAUGCAUAUGAUAGAACUUUUGAUGAAAUUCCAAUUUCAACCGAUUGUAGUCCCAUGAUCCAGUAUCAUCACAUAGCCUAUACCAUGUCAACGCUUUAUCCUUAAAAGAAAAAGGAAAGAGUUUCUUCUUUACCUCAUCCUCGGGCAAACCUGCAAGCUUAAAUAAACCACAAACUUCAUCUACAUAGAUCAGAUGCAAGUCUGGAUGUGAAGAUCCAUCUCCUAUAAAAGGAUUAGCGAGCAAUUUCUCAAGCAUACCCGAAGGAAUUUCAUAAAAGAUAUUUUCAGUAGGUACCUCAGGUCGAGGAACAAUGCCUCGUGCUUCCGUUAGUGGUGAAGAUACCCCGAACAAACUCCUCAAAGGAACAGUUUCCAUAGUGACAAGUGACAAUAAAUUUCAGCACAGUAUAAAAAUGUUUCCUUACCAAUUUCCACUUACCAAAGGCGCUUCAAUCCCCGGCUACGGCGCCAGAAAAGAGUCUUGAUGACCCACAAGUAUAGGGGAUCAAGCGUAGUCCUUUCGAUAAGUAAGAGUGUCGAACCCAACGAGGAGCAGAAGGCUCUGAUAAAUGGAUUUCAGCAAGGUAAUAACUGCAAGCACUGAAAGUAGCGGUAACAAGUGAUGGUGUAGCGAGGUGAAACGUAACAAGUGAAAAGUAAAAAGUAACAAGUAGUAGCAAUGGUGCAUAAAGUGGCCCAAUCCCUUUUGUAGCAAGGGACAAGCCUGAACAAAGUCUUAUAGGAGGAAAAACGCUCCCGAGGACACAUGGGAAUUUCUGUCAUGCUAGUUUCAUUAUGUUCAUAUGAUUCGCGUUCGUUACUUUGAUAGUUUGACAUGUGGGUGGACCGGUGCUUGGGUAUUUCCCUUACUUGGACAAGCAUCCCACUUAUGAUUAACCUCUCUCGCAAACAUCCGCAACUAAAAAAGAAGAAUUAAGACAACGUCUAACCAUAGCAUUAAACUAGUGGAUCCAAAUCAGCCCCUUACGAAGCAACGCAUAGACCGGGGUUUAAGCUUUUGUCACUCCAGGAACCCAUCAUCUGCUUACUACUCCCCAAUGCCUUCCUCUAGGCCCAAAUAUGGUGAAGUGUUAUGUAGUCGACGUUCACAUAACACCACUAGAGGAAUCACAACAUACAGCAUAUCAAAAUAUCGAACGAAUAUCAAAUUCACAUGACUAUUAUCAGCAUGACUUAUCCCAUGUCCUCAGGAACAAAAGUAACUACUCACAAAGCAUAAUCAUAAUCAUGAUCAGAGGUGUAAUGAGUAGCAUCAAGGAUCUGAACAUAAACUCUUCCACCAAGUAAUCCAACUAGCAUCAACUACAAAGAGUAAUCAACACUAGUAGUAACCUUACAAGUACCAAUCGGAGUCGUGAGACGAAGAUUGGUUACAAGAGAUGAACUAGGGAUUGGAGAGGAUACGGUGCUGAUGAAGAUGUUGAUGAAGAUGCCUCCCCUCCGACGAGAGGAGUGUUGGUGAUGAUGAUGGCGACGAUUUCCCCCUCCGGGAGGGAAGUUUCCCCGGCAAGAUCGUCAUGCCUGAGCUCUAGAUUGGAUCUGCUCAAGUUCCGCCUCGUGGCGGCGGCGAAACCACGAAAAAGAUCCCGGUUGAUUUUUUCUGUAACGAAACCCUUCAUAUAGCAAAAGAGGGGGGCUAGUGGGCCGUCAGGGAGCCCACAAGCUUGCCCUCCGCCACCAGGGGAUGGCGGUGGCAGGGCUUGUGGCGCUCUGGCAGCCCCCCUCUGGUACUUCUUUCGCCCAGUAUUUUUUAUAUAAUCCCAAAAAAAUUCACGUAACUUUUCAGGGCAUUUGGAGAUGUGCAGAAUAGUGGACUAAGAUUUGCUCCUUUUCCAGUCGAGAAUUCCAGCUGCCUGAAUUCUCCCUCUUCAAAUAAACCUUGCAAAAUAAGAGAGAAAAGGCAUAAAUAUGGUACCACAAAGUAAUAUAACAGCCCAUAAAGCAAUAAAUAUCAACAUGAAAGCAUGAUGCAAAAUGGGCGUAUCAAGCUUCACUUAAUGUGUAGCAUUUGAAUGUGUGAAUUGCCAUGUCUUGCCUUGCAUAAUUUAAACUCGACAUGCAUCAUAUUAGGGUGUGAAUCAUAUCAUGCAUGUGUGUGGUGAAUAUCGUAUGUUGAUUCUUGUUUCUGAUUUGCUUCGUCUCAAUAGAGUUCUGCAAGCGUGUCGAAAUGUGAGGAUCCGUUCGACUAUGUUGGUUCGUCUGCUUCACGGAGUCGUUCUUCUUCCAAGCGGGAUCUCAGGCCAGAUGAUCAUUUUCCUAGAUACCAUUACUAUCAAUGCCAUGCUAGUUUUCUUGUUUCUUUCAUUUUGUCUCGCUGCCUACCACAUGUUUAACAUGACUCCCAACAUUGCCAUGAAAACCUUCAACAUGUUCACAACCUAGCAAUCCACUGUUUGGCUAUGUUACCUCUUGCUUAACCAUGUGUUAGAGUUGCUAGUUGCAGGUGCAGUUGCUUCCAUGUGAAAACAUGGGUUCCUUUUUAUAUCACCAUAUUAAUUGCUAUUUAAACUAAUGCACCUACAUAGUUGGUAAAAGGUGGAAGGCUCGGCUUUCUAGCCUGGUGUUUUGUUCCACCUUUGUCGCCUUAGUUUCGCCUACCGGUGUUAUGUUCCAUAAUUGAGCGCUCCUAACAUGCUUGGGUUUGUUAUGGGGACCCCCUAGAUUCUCGUUUUGGGAUAAAGCUCGUUGGCAAGGCCCAACAUUGGUACUAUAUUUGCCCAACAUAAUGAUAUUGAUUUUAAUGUGACGCAUAGGGAGCUAGCGCUACCCGAGGAGUAAUUCAACAUAAUACAGGGAGGGCCAGUGUUGAUGGUGCUGGUCCUAAACAUAGCAUUGUGUGGGGCCUACCCAGGGCAACUUGGGUGAUUUCUAUCAAGCCACCGUACGCGUGGCUUAUCCAUCGUGUCCUGAGAACGAGAUACGCGGCUCCUAUGAGGAUCGUCGACACGCCGGGCGGCCUUGCUGGACUUGUUUUACCUUUCUCGGGCGUCUUGUGUGAUUGAUUCCGAGGAUACUUUGGGCUAUCUCGAGGUUGAGAUUUUCCAAUAGGAACCCAGGAGAUCACGGGCUUCCCUAAUCGAGGUCAUUCCGUCGCAGCGUGUGUUAGUUUGUGAUGGACUAGUUGGAGCACCCCUGCAGGGUUAAAUCUUUCGGAAAGCCAUCCGGUUCAAGAUAACUUGAAGUAAGCUUAAUUAAAAUAUGCCAACUGUGUGUGUAACCGUGACUGUCUCUUUCAUGAGCUCCUUCUCCGAUCAAGGACGCGGUGGGGUUAUGUCCGACGUAAGUAGGUGUUCCAGAUCAUUCAUUUGAUCACCAGUAGCUCACGUCCGCUAUGUGUAGAUCUUCCCCCUCUUUAUUCUUGUACUCGAAGUUAGCCAUCUCAAAUAAAUGCUUAGUCGCGUGCUGCAGACUCACCACUUAACCAUACCUCACCCAUUAAGCUUUGCUAGUCUUGAUACCUUUGGAAAUGAGAUUGUUGGGUCCCUUUGGCUCACAAAUUACUACAACACCAAUUCAGGUACAGGUAAAGGAUAUUAAGACGUGAGCGCGAUGAUUGUGCUAUUUGGAGUUUCUUCUUCUUCUUCUUCGAUCUAGGAUAGGUUCCAGGCCGCACCCUGGGAUAGCAAAGAUGGGCAUCGCUCUUUUAUCGUUUGUUUUCGUCCAUAGUUGGACUCUGAUCUUCUUCAUGAUGACUCUUUAUGUUAUUGUGUUGAUGUGACUUUGAUGUAGCUUGUGGCGAGUGUAAGCCAACUCUUUAUACUCAUCUUUUCAGUACAUGUACUUGUAACGAUAUCCAUUCUUGCGAAACGACGAGAUGCAUUUCUAUCCUUGUCGAGACCCUCGCGCCAAAAUAAGGAUAGGACCGCAUCUUGGGCGUUACACCUUGCCCUUGUAGUCUUGUGGUGGAAGGUCAUCUUGAAAGCUUGUUCCCUUGGGAGGAGUAGGAUCAUACUUCUCCUCUUGAGGAACAAACUUGGGAAUGGGAUAUUGACCUUCUUCCCAAACAUCUGUGUUGACGUUGAAGUAACCAACAUCUUGCUUCUUCCGAUGUCCUCCUCGCUUGCACACAAUUUCUUCGAAUUUCUUACUUUCGGCAAGACUCUUGAAGACACCUCUCUCUAUAGUUCCUUCCAAUAAGUUGUUUUCUUGCUCAAGUGGAACUUGGCUAAGAGAAUCAUUAGUGGAAUCAAGAGGCCCCAAGGUAACAGUCUUAUCAAGGAGCAAGUCAUAUUCCCCUAACAAGUCAUCCUCAUCACUAUCAAAGUCAAAGUACUCGGGGUGUGAUACCUUGGGGCCUUUUGCCAUGAAGCAGUUUCCAAUCCCUUCAUUUGGUGAACCAAAUAUCGUUUGUGAUUGAUGGAUUACACACAGUUUUAUUGAAGGGUCUUUGAUUGAUGUGUUGUCUUUGGACCAUCAUGUAGUAAUGAAUACCGCGAAGCUACCGAACUGCCUCGGGGUUCGCAUGCCCCAGACAAUUCCAACUGUUACAACUCAUUGGGAUGGGAGGACUACUCUGCACCUACCACCAAAUUGUCAGGUGUGGGCUUCUUCUUCUUCUUCUUAUUAUUAUUAUUAUUAUUAUUAUUUAAAGUCCUCUCUAAUUUAUUUGCAUCCUCAUAAGCUUCUACAUCCCCCUCCACCAUUGAUAUCUUGUAUUUUCAGUUUCAAAUAUAUCGUCAGCGCCCAUAAGCCGGAGAGAGUUAGUUGCUACCAGUCUAUAAACUUGUUUUGGUGCUCCCUUCUGUUUAACAUUUGUACAGUCUUUCACCGGGGAUGUCACUCUACACCCUUACCAACAUUGAAAGUAUUCUCAGAUUCUCGCUGACUAUUCGACAUCGUGUUUUGCUCUGACCCGAACUAUCAACCAAAGCAGUCUUUCGGUGAUCUUCAGGUACCCUCAUCAUCGUUUAAAAGGGGAGUUCACCUUUAUCAUCUCGAGGACCUGGAGUUGGGCACAUGAGCUCUAUGUAUCCCAGACGGCCACACGAGAAGAAAAAGUGUGAAACUUGUUCAUAUUGGAUGUCGUAUAGAUCAGUCUUAUGUCUCUUUGUUGAUUCGAUCAAGAUCCACCUCCUCAGAGGUUUACUAAUAUCAAUGGAUACCCUCGCCCGUAGAAAUCCACCAACAUGAUUAAACUGGAUUGAGGUAGUGUUGUUAUCUAUCUGUUGUGCGAUCAACUUCCCCCAUGUAUCAUUGUGGAGAUUGUAUGGGAGAUUUGGAACCCUAGCCCACAGAUGGAGCUGUUCAAACUUGACCUCAUUGAGUCACAUGCAGUCCUUAAAGUCCGCCAAGAUUACUGUGUUCUUGCUCAUGUUCCAUGAUCCCAUCCACAUGCGAUCAUGAUCCCUUUUGUGAUGCCCUCGAUUUUAUCGUAUGCUAAUCAUACACGCAAAUGCGUAUGACCAAGCUCAAGGACUCACGGAAAGAUAUCACAACACAACUCUAGACACAAAUAAAAACAUACAAGCUUCAUAUUACAAGCCAGGGGCCUCGAGGGCUAGAAUACAGAAGCUCGAUAAACACACGAGUCAGCGGAAGCAACAAAUAUAUGAGUACAGACAUAAAACAUGACAAUGCCUUAGAGAAGGCUAGCACAAAAGAUACAUCGAUCGAUCGAACAAGGCGAGGCCUCCUACCUGUGAACCUCCUAAACUACUCCUGGUCAUUAACGGCCUCCACGUAGUAGUGGGCACCAUCGGGAUAGCAGUCGUCGUCGGCGGGAUACGCCAUCUCUUGGGCUCCAUCAUCUGAUCGCAGCAAUCGAAUCAAGGGGAAAAGGGGGAGCAAAGCAACGGUGAGUACUCAUCCAAAGUACUCGCAAGACUGACAUCGGACUAUUCUAAGUUAUGCAUCAGUAUCAAAUGAAUGAGGUUGUAUGUGUACUAAUUGCAACAAUGCAAGAAUAGAGAGAGGGGACUAGUCCUAUCGAAGACUAGCAUCUUCAGGGGUCUUCCAGCAAUAGACGAGGGUAGAGCAAGUAACACAAUUAAAUAAUCAUAGUGUUGCAGCAAUAUUAAUUAAGGUCACGCCUAGAGAUUCUUCCUCGAAUCCCUGCGAGAAAGCAAUCCCGGGGCAAACAUUCGAGUUAACUAACAGUUCUAGUUGUAUAAGAUAAGGGCAAAACUCCAAGUCGUCCUGUAACCAUGGACACGGCUAUUCAAAUAGUUAGUUUUCAUCCCUGCAGUGGUGCUCCACAGUACCCAACACGCUUGAUAAACUCUGGUCGGAAACACUUUCCUGGGUCAUGCCCGGCCUUGGAACAUCAACACGUUGCAGCCUACCUAGGCUCAAUAGAGAGGCCAGCCCGCCGGUCUAAAUCCUAAGCGCGUAGGAGUCGUGGGCCCAUCACCCUUUGCACUCCUGCACGAUGUGUGGGCGGUCGAAGUCAGUCCUGGCACCUCUUAUGCAAGAACGAUGCUUACGCGGACCACUGGGUCGCGCGCCACUCCAUUGUUGAUGUGUGAAGAGCUUCGGCUUAUACCACGACGUCGAGUACCCAUAACUUCUCCCACGUGAAGGUUAGUGUGAAAAGGUCUCCCGGCCAACUCUGAUCAAAUACCCAAAUCCCGUUAGCAUUUUAAUUAACACUGCGGCGACUAUCAGCAAUCCAUGAUAUGUGGUCCCGUCACCCCGUCUCGAGGAUGUGUAGCAAGGGCCCAGAAUGCCCGGCCACGCCUCAUCACAUUCACGCGGGAAUCCACCCACAACACACCUCAUCAUUUUCCUAGUAGCAAGGUCAAGUAACUGUGCGACUGUAACAUCAGAGGGAUCCGAGGUAUCACCCUCGAUGGAUUCCAAAUGAUGUAAUCGUCAAGGUGGCCAGGGAAGAAUCACCCUCCGUGAACCAGCACCGGUUAACCACACUACAGAGCUAACAUCGGGGGUACGUAUCGAGGUGUCACCUUCGGUACUCGACAAUAGCUCUGCAACAUCGUACAACUAAGGGGGUGUUAGUGAUGUGACGGGUCUUGGCUCGUCGAUCAAAAGAUUGAGACUUCGAUGAUAAAGCGGGGCAACUGAUCUUAGGGGGGUCAAAGGGGACCACUGCUCCACAUAUAUUAAACAGUUUAAAGUACGAUAGAGUAAAGUAGCACUUCAUCAAAAAGAGGCUAUGCAUCAGAUAUAGGAGCUAUCUACAACAGUAGCAAAAUUCUAAUGCAAACAUGAGGGAGAAAGAAUAGGCGAUAUAGGAAUGAUCAAGGGGGGUUUGCUUUGCCUUGUUGCUCUAUGGAAAAGGGUUGGUCGUUAGGAGGGUAGUCGUAUCCGGCAGCAACGUCAAUCUCGGGGUCUACCGGUAAGAAGAGGGGGGAUGAAACAAUAAAUAUAAAAGCACAAAUGCAACACGAUGCAUGGCAUGGCAAUAUGCAGGGCUACGCAUGCACUAACGCAGUAUUAUACGUCAUGGACAGAUCGGGAAAAUAUCUGACGAUAUUUCCCGGGUCUUUGGCUACUACCGGACAAGCGAAAAGGAUGGAAAAAGUUCCAUGUUCGUUAUGAUAGGGACGCUUGACAGACGAACGGACACGUAUCCGGGUUCGUCUCGUUUUUCUCAUCAAAUUUCAUGUACAAAACAAUUUCAUCUGGAUUACGGAUUAUUUUAAAUUAAUUUUUAAAGAUAUAAUAAUUAUUUAGGAACUAAAUAUAUUUAAUUAAAUUCAAUAAAUAGUUAUGACAUCACCAUGAUGUCAUGUUGACAUGAGCAGUCAAUGGUCCUAGUUGACUAGUCAAACUAGCCAGUGGGCCCUGUUGUCAUAGUCACAUUUUUAAUUAAGUUUCAUAAACAUUAAUCACAUUUAUUUAGGGGGGUGGGACCCACCUGUCAAUCACACAUUAACUUAACAAGUGCUAAAAUUAUCUAACUACUCUAAUUAAGUUAAUUAACUAACUAAUUAACUAUUUUGAUUAUUACUUUUAAUCCAUUAUAUAUGUAUAUAUAUAUAUCAAAUUAAAUGUUUAGGGGGUGGGGCCCCUCUGUCAACGUCACGGGGAGGGAGGGAGGUUAGUGGGGGCCUGGCUAUGGUCGAGGCCACCGGCGAGGAGACGGGCAGGGGGCAACGGUGGUGUGGCCGGCGGUGUGCCAGCGGCAGCACGCGCGGAAAGCGUCGGCGGCCAGAGGCGUGGCCAGGGCGCACCGGCGGCGAGCGGCGUUGCGGUGGUGGCCACCGGGCUCGAGGCGGACACGGGGCUGCGGGGGCCAGGGCGAUGCCAGGGUGGUGCACAACGUCGGGGCUCUUCUUGCCGGAGGGGGGGCUCGCCGGAGUGAGUGGUGGCGCGGUGGCCGCGGGUUGCCGGAGUUGGGGAGAGGAGGAGAGGGGCCUCACUACUGAUGUAGUGGGAGGCAGUGUCUCAAGAAGGACCAGCGGGGUAGUCCGAUGGGGGAGAGGCGGUGGAGGCCGGCGAGGGGGCGGCACCGACCGGUGGGCCGUCGGGCCGGAGGGACGAUGCUAGUUGGGAGGGCGGGGCGCCGCUAGGGGAGGGGGGUUCAGGUGAGGGGGGAGUGGGGAGUGAGUGGGGGCUGGGGUCGCCGGUUAGGGUUCCUUGGGGGUUAAAUACCCCCACGUGGGGUGGGCUGAAUUAGGUGGGCCGGUUGGGGCCGACCCACUGGGGGAGUUUUUUUUUUGCUUUGUUUUUUGUUUUUUCAGUCUUAUUUAUUUUAGCAACCAAAAGACCUUUGUAGUUUUCACAAAAUGAUUCAAUAAAGAUGUGACAAUAUUAGACUCUGCCACAAAAAGUUUGGGGGCAUUUGACAAAGGUUUGGAAUUUACUUAAUUUAAAAGGCGUCCCAUUUAUUGUUUAGGCCUUAGUUUUAAUUAGUUUUGAGGUACCAAAUUUAUUCAAAAAAUGUUGGUUGCAGUUUUAUACUAAUUUAGGGAUUAUUUACAACCCAUGCAUGAUUUUUAUUUUGAAGUUUGCAAAACUUUUAUAUCCAUUUUUGAAAUGAAUUUGAAUUGCAGAAGAAUUUGAAUCAGAGUUUGAUUCCAACUGUGAUCAUAACUGGACUAGCAAAAGCAUUAGCUUAAUCUUGGCCAUCUCUCUAGCUUAAUUACAAUGAUUACUGUAGCAUAAUCCGGGGAUGUCACACCUUUGAGCCUUAAACUCUGCCACAAACAUGUUUUCCCUCAUAUGGAACAUAACUGUAGUCCUCGGGGAUUCCCUUAAACAGGCCAAAGAGCACCUUCUAUUGUUUGGAUGUGGAGCAAAUUCCGGUGGAGGACCUUGCCGACGAUCAGCCAUCUCUUUGUCUUACAUCUCUAUCAUCUAUCACAAACAAUGUUGCUUCUUCAUUGAUUAUACCCAGCUUGCCUAAUGCCUCUUCCAGACGAGCAGUUAUGGGCGACUCCCAGACCCCUCUCAUCGCGUGCGUCAUGAGAAGAUAUGGUCAUCUCCUCGCUGCAGAAUCUCGAUCGUGCCCCGCCGGUGAAAACUAGUGGCCGCCACACUUCCACGUCGAAACCCUAGGCGUCGUCAGAGGGGUAUCUGGGUUUUUGGGAAAUACUAUAAGGGCAUGUUUGGUUAUAUUGGCAACCGAGCCUGGCCUGGCUAGCCUAGCUCUAGUGAUCCGGUUUGAGGGGAUGCACGCAAAAGGAUCCUGGAUGCACAUAGUUUGGUUGCCUGCAUGUACCUUAGUUGCAUGAGACAAUCAUUUUUGACACGGCGUUUGGUUGCCCGCAUUACAUUAGGCGAACAUAUGACAUGGCGUUUGGUUGCAACCUGCAUAAGUUGUUGUCACCACUUGUAACUAGUGGUGAGCUUACCGCACACAAUCUGAACAUGUAGUGCCAGCUAAUUAAACAAAUGACAGUUCAUCCUAACUACUAUCAAAUGACAGAACAAAUUAUUAAGAGCCAUUGGCUAAAUAGGCGAUACUUCAUUGGUGUUACUGCUACGAAAUCUUCCUUUUCAUCUUCCUCUUCUUCUGCUUGUGCUUCUGUUGUUGUUGCUUCUUCUUCCUCCUCUUCUUCAAAUCAUGCACUGACCUCUGUUAAGCCACAUUGCCUCUGCCCACUCCAACCUUUUGUUCUUCCAAGCGUCAUUGUCAAAUGCCUCCACACCAUGACCAGAGCUAACAACAUGGGCAAGCUCGACCUCUUCCUCCUCAAGCACGUGUUCAUCAAAGCCCCACUUGAGGAUCGAGUUAUGCAGAAUGCAACAAGCAAGAACAAGCUUAACCUGAGUGGGUAUGGGUGGAAUGGCUUCUAAUCCAGGAUCUUAAACAUAUUCUUCAGAGCUCCAAAUGCCCUCUCAACAGUUACUCUAAGGCUGGAGUGUCUAAUAUUAAACAACUCAUGUGCAGUUCUACGAUAAUUCCUACCAGUGAACUCGUUGAGAUAGUACCUGGUUUUCCUGAAGGGUGGAAGAACACCCGACCGACAUGCAUAGUGAGCAUCUCCAAGGUAGAACUUGUCGUCAGGGAUAUUGAUCCCAUCAGGUCGAGUCAUGUUGUCACUGAGAAUGUAAGCAUCAUGUGUUGACCCCUCCCAGCCAGCCAACACAUAUGUGAACUUUAGAUCAAAGUCAACAGCAGCAAGCACAUUCUGGCUUGUGUAGUGCUUCCUCCCCCUGUAUUUUGUAGACUAUGACCUAGGAACUCUAGCAGUGACAUGAGUACCAUCUAUUGCCCCAAUGCAAUCCUAAAAAUGGCAUCACAAGCCUGUGUUAGUGCUUAACUUGAACAAUACAAGCAUAUCAAGCCAUGAAAAGUGUAUAUUUUUGUUGGAAAUAUGCCCUAGAGGCAAUAAUAAAUUAGUUAUUAUUAUAUUUCUUAGUUCAUGAUAAUCGUUUAUUAUCCAUGCUAUAAUUGUAUUGAUUGGAAACACAAUACUUGUGUGGGUACAUAGACAAAACACUGUCCCUAGUAAGCCUCUAGUUGACUAGCUCGUUGAUCAAAGAUGGUCAAGGUUUCCUGGCCAUAGGCAAGUGUUGUCACUUGAUAACGGGAUCACAUCAUUAGGAGAAUCAUGUGAUGGACUAGACCCAAACUAAAUAGACGUAGCAUGUUGAUCGUGUCAUUUUGUUGCUACUGUUUUCUGCGUGUCAAGUAUUUGUUCCUAUGACCAUGAGAUCAUAUAACUCACGGACACCGGAGGAAUGCUUUGUGUGUAUCAAACGUCGCAACAUAACUGGGUGACUAUAAAGAUGCUCUGCAGGUAUCUCCGAAGGUGUUCGUUGAGUUAGUAUGGAUCGAGACUGGAAUUUGUCGCUCCGUGUGACGGAGAGGUAUCUCGGGGCCCACUCGGUAAUACAACAUCAAACACAAGCCUUGCAAGCAAUGUGACUUAGUGUAAGUUACGGGAUCUUGUAUUACGGAACGAGUAAAGAGACUUGCCGGUAAACGAGAUUGAAAUAGGUAUGCGGAUACUGACGAUCGAAUCUCGGGCAAGUAACAUACCGAAGGACAAAGGGAAUGACAUACGGGAUUAUAUGAAUCCUUGGCACUAAGGUUCAAACGAUAAGAUCUUCGUAGAAUAUGUAGGAUCCAAUAUGGGCAUCCAGGUCCUGCUAUUGGAUAUUGACCGAGGAGUCUCUCGGGUCAUGUCUACAUAGUUCUCGAACCCGCAGGGUCUGCACACUUAAGGUUCGACGUUGUUUUAUGCGUAUUUGAGUUAUAUGGUUGGUUACCGAAUGUUGUUCGGAGUCCCGGAUGAGAUCACGGACGUCACGAGGGUUUCCAAAAUGGUCCGGAAACGAAGAUUGAUAUAUAGGAUGACCUCAUUUGAUUACCGGAAGGUUUUCGGAGUUACUGGGAAUGUACCGGGAAUGACGAAUGGGUUCCGGGAGUUCACCGGGGGGGCAACCGACCCCGGGGAAGCCCAUAGGACUUGACGGUGGCACACCAGCCCUUAGUGGGAUGGUGGGACAGCCCAAAAGGCUCUAUGCGCCAAGGAGAAGAAAAUCAAGAGAGAAAGAAAAAAAAAGGAGGAGGUGGGAAGGAAGGGGGACUCCCUCCCACCAAACCUAGUCCAACUCGGUUUGGGGGGGAGAGUCCUCCCCCUUGGACUCGGCCGACCCCCUUGGGGCUCCUUGAGCCCCAAGGCAAGGUCCCCUCCCUCCCACCUAUAUAUACGGAGGUUUUAGGGCUGAUUUGAGACGACUUUUCCACGGCAGCCCGACCACAUACCUCCACGGUUUUUCCUCUAGAUCGCGUUUCUGCGGAGCUCGGGCGGAGCCCUGCUGAGACAAGGUCAUCACCAACCUCAGGAGCGCCGUCAUGCUGCCGGAGAACUCUUCUACCUCUCCGUCUCUCUUGCUGGAUCAAGAAGGCCGAGAUCAUCGUCGAGCUGUACGUGUGCUGAACGCGGAGGUGUCGUCCGUUCGGUACUAGAUUGUGGGACUGAUCGCGGGAUUGUUCGCGGGGCAGGUUGAGGGACGUGAGGACGUUCCACUACAUCAACCGCAUUCACUAACGCUUCUGCUGUACGAUCUACAAGGGUACGUAGAUCACUCAUCCCCUCUCGUAGAUGGACAUCACCAUGAUAGGUCUUCGUGCGCGUAGGAAAAUUUUUGUUUCCCAUGCGACGUUCCCCAACAGUGGCAUCUUGAGCUAGGUUCAUGCGUAGAUGUCUUCUCGAGUAGAACACAAAAGUUUUUGUGGGCGGUGAUGUGCGUUUUGCUGCCCUCCUUAGUAUUUUCUUGAUUCCGCGGUAUUGUUGGAUCGAAGCGGCUCGGACCGACAUUACUCGUACGCUUACGAGAGACUGGUUUCAUCGCUACGAGUAACUCCGUUGCUCAAAGAUGACUGGCGGGUGUCAGUUUCUCCCACUUUAGUUGAAUCGGAUUUGACCGAGGAGGUCCUUGGAUGAGGUUAAAUAGCAAUUCAUAUAUCUCCGUUGUGGUGUUUGCGUAAGUAAGAUGCGAUCCUACUAGAUACCCAUGGUCACCACGUAAAACAUGCAACAACAAAAUUAGAGGACGUCUAACUUGUUUUUGCAGGGUAUGCUUGUGAUGUGAUAUGGCCAACGAUGUGAUGUGAUAUAUUGGAUGUAUGAGAUGAUCAUGUUGUAAUAGUUAAUAUCGACUUGCAUGUCGAUGGUAUGGCAACCGGCAGGAGCCAUAGGGUUGUCUUUAUAACUAACGUUUGUGCUUGCAGAUGUGUUUACUAUUUUGCUAGGAUGUAGCUUUAGUAGUAAUAGCAUGAGUAGCACGACAACCCCGAUGGCGACACGUUGAUGGAGAUCAUGAUGAUGGAGGAUCAUGGUGUGACGCCGGUGACAAGAAGAUCGUGCCGGUGCUUUGGUGAUGAAGAUCAAGAAGCACGUGAUGAUGGCCAUAUCAUGUCACUUAUGAAUUGCAUGUGAUGUUAAUCCUUUUAUGCACCUUAUUUUGCUUAGAACGAUGGUAGCAUUAUGAGGUGAUCUCUCACUAAAAUUUCAAGACGAAAUUGUGUUCUCCCCGACUGUGCACCGUUGCGACAGUUCGUCGUUUCGAGACACCACGUGAUGAUCGGGUGUGAUAGACUCAACGUUCACAUACAACGGGUGCAAAACAGUUGCACACGCAGAACACUCGGGUUAAGCUUGACGAGCCUAGCAUGUGCAGACAUGGUCUCAGAACACAUGAGACCGAAAGGUCGAGCAUGAAUCGUAUAGUUGAUAUGAUUAGCAUAGAGAUGCUUACCACUGAAACUAUUCUCGACUCACGUGAUGAUCGGACUUGAGAUAGUGGAUUUGGAUCAUGUACCACUCAAAUGACUAGAGAGAUGUACUUUUUGAGUGGGAGUUCUUAAGUAAUAUGAUUAAUUGAACUAAUUGUCAUGAACAUAGUCUAAAUGGUCUUUGCGAAUUACGAUGUAGCUUGCGCUAUAGCUCUACUGUUUUUAUAUGUUCCUAGAGAAAAUUUAGUUGAAAGUUGAUAGUAGCAAACUUUGCAGACAAAGUCUGUAAAACCGAGGAUUGUCCUCGUUGCUGCGCAGAAGGCUUAUGUCCUUAAUGCACCACUCGGUGUGCUGCACCUCGAGCGUCGUCUGUGGAUGCUGUGAACAUCCGACAUACACGUUUUCGAUGACUACACGAUAGUUCAGUGUAAAAUACUUAAAUGGCUUAGAAGCAAGGCGCUGAAAACGUUUUAAAAACGUCACGGAACAUAAGUGAUGUUCGAAAGAGAUGAAAUUGUGAUUUCAUGCUUGUGCCCUUGUUAAGAGGUACGAGACCUCCAACAAGAUUCUUUGUCCACAAAGUAAAGGAGAAAAGCUCAAUCGUUGAGCAUGUGCUCAGAUUGUCUGAGUACGACAAUCACUUGAAUCAAGUGGGAGUUAAUCUUCCAGAUGAGAUAGUGAUGGUUCUCCAAAGUCACUGCCACCAAGCUGUGAGAGCUUCGUGAUGAACUAUAACAUAUCAAGGAUAAAUGCAAUGGUCCUUGAGAAAUUCGCGAUGUUUGACACUGCGAAAGUACAAAUCAAGAAGGAGCAUCAAUAGUUGAUGGUUUGUAAAACCACUAAGUUUCAAGAAGGGCAAGGGCUAGAAGGGAUACUUCGUGAAACGGAAAAACAGUUGCUGCACUAAUGAAGAGACCCAAGAUUAAACCCAAACCCGAGACUAAGUGCUUCUGUAAUGAGGGGAACAGUCACUAAGGCGGAGCAACUCUAGAUACUUGGUAGAUAAGAAGGCUGGCAAAAGUCGAAAGAAGUGUAUUUGAUAUACAUGAUGUUGAUGUGUACUUUACUAGUACUCCUAGUAGCAUGUGGGUAUUGGAUACCGGUUCGGUUGCUAAGUGAUUAGUAACACGAAAUGUAAGCUACGGCAUAAACGGAGACUAGCUAAAGGCAAGGUGACGAUACGUGUUGGAAGUGUUUCCAAGGUUGAUAUGAUCAAACGUCGCACGCUCCCUCUACCAUCGGGAUUGGUGUUAAACCUAAAUAAUUGUUAUUUGGUGCUUGCGUUAAGCAUGAACAUGAUUGGAUCGUGUUUAUUGCAAUACGAUUAUUCAUUUAAAGAGAAUAAUGGUUACUCUAUUUUCUUGAAUAAUCACCUUCAAUGGUUUAUUGAAUCUCGAUCGUAGUGUUACACAUGUUCAUGAUAUUGGUGCCAAAAGAUACGAGUUGAUGAUGAUAGUACCACUUACUUGUGGCACUGCCGCUUGAGUCAUGUUAGUAUAAAUUGCAUGAAGAGGCUCCAUGCUGAUGGAUCUUUGUACUCACCUGAUUUCGAAUCACUAGUGACAUGCAAAUCAUACCACAUGAGCAAGGCCUUGUUUUCAUUAAGAUGAAAUAAGAUAGUAACUUGUUGGAAGUGAUACAUUUUGAUGUAUGCAGUCCAAUGGUUGCUGAGGCAUGCAGUGGAUAUCAUUAUGUUCUUACUUCACUGACGAUUUGAGUAGAUACUGGAAUAUUUACUUAAUGAAUCACAAGUCUGAAAUGUUGAAAAGUUCAAUUCCGUUUCAGAGUGAAGUUCGUCGUAACAAGAGGAUAAACUGUCUACGAUAUGAUCAUGGAAAUGAAUAUCUGAGUUACGAGUUUUGGUACACAGUUAAGACAAUGUGGAAAUUGUUUCGCAGUUCAUGCCACGUGGAACAUCAUAGUGUGAUGAUGUGUCUGAACGUCAUAGCCACGCACUAUUUGGUAUGGUGCAUACUAUGAUGUCUCUUAUCGAAUUACCACUAUCGUUUAUGGGUUAUGCAUUAGAGACAACCGCGCUCACUUUAAAUAGGGCACCGCGUAUUUCCGUUGAGAUGACACAGUAUAGACUGAGGUUUAGAGAAAUCUAAACUGUCGUUUCUUCAAAGUUUGGGGUUUCGACACUUAUGUGAAAAAGUUUCAGUCUGAUAAGCUCGAACCCAAAGCGGAUAAAUGCAUCUUCAUAGGAUAUCCAAAGCAGUUGGGUACAUCUCCUAUCUCAGAUCCGAAAGCAAAGUGUUUAUUUCUAGAAACGGAUCCUUUCUCGAGGAAAGGUUUCUCUCAAAAUAAUUGAGUGGGAGGGUAGUAGAACUUGAUGAGGUUAUUGAACCAUCACUUCAACCAGUGUGUAGCAGGGCGCAGGAAGUUGUUCAUGUGGCGCCUACACCAAUUGAAGUGGAAGCUGAUGAUGAUGAUCAUUGAGCUUCGAAUCAAGUUACUACAAACCUCGUAGGUCGACAAGGUCGCGUACUGCUGCAGAGUAGUACGGUAACCCUAUCUUGGAGGUCAUGUUGUUGAGCAACAGUGAACCUACGAGUUAUGGAGAAAGCGAUGGUGGGCCCAGAUUCCGACAAAUGGUUGGAAGCCAUGAAAUCCGAGAGAGGAUCCAUGUGUGAAAACAAAGUGUAGACUUUGGUAGAACUACUUGAUGGUCAUAGGACUAUUGAGUAAAAAAUGGAUCUUUAAAAGAAGACAGAUGAUGGUGAUAAGUCACUAUUAAGAAAAGCUCGACUUGUCGCAAAGAUGUUUUCGACAAGAUCAAACAGUUGACUAUGAUGAGACUUUCUCACUCGUAGCGAUGCUAAAGGUCUGUUAGAAUUAUGUUAGUUGUUGAUGCAUUAUUUAUGAAAUAUUGCACGUAGGAUGUCAAAACAUUGUUUCCUCGACGGUUUCCUUGAGCAAACAUUGUAUGUGAUACAACCAGGAGGUUUUGUCGAUCCUAAAGAUACUAGCAAGUAUGCAAGCUCCAGCGAUCCUUCAAUGGACUGGUGCAAGCAUCUCGGAGUUGGAAUAUAUAUACUUUGAUGAGAUGAUCAAAGAUUUUGGGUUUGUACAAGGUUUAUGAGAAACUUGUAUUUCCAAAGAAGUGAGUGGGAGCACUAUAGAAUUUCUGAUAAGUAUAUGUGGUUGACAUAUUGUGGAUCAGAAGUAAUGUAGAAUUUCUGUAAAGCAUACAAGGUUGUUUGAAAGGAGUUUUUCAAAGGAUUGCGCUACUUGAACGUUGAGCAUCAAAGAUCUAUGGAGAUAGAUCAAAAGCGCUUAAUAGAAGUUUCAACAAGAUGCAUGCCUUGACAAGUUUUUGGAGGAGUUCAAAAUAGAUCAGUAAAGAAGGAGUUCUUGGUUGCGUUGUAAGGUGUGAAUUUGAGUAAGACUCAAAACCCGACCACGGCAGAAUAAAGAGAAUAGACGAAGGUCGUCUUCUAUGCCUUAGCUGUAGAAUCUAAAAGUAUGCCAUGCUGUGUACCGCGCCUGAUGUGUGCCUUGACUCAAAGUAUGUUGAGAGGUACAGAGAGUGAUCCAUGAUUGAAUCACUAGCAGCGGUCAAAAUUUGUCCUUAGUAACUAAUGGACUAAGGAAUUUUUCUCGAUUAUGGAGGUGGUUAAAGAGUUCAUCGUAAAGGGUUACGUCGAUGCAAGCUUUGACACUAAUCCGAAUAACUAUGAGUAGUGAAACGGACUCGUAUAGUAGAGUAGAUAUUUGGAGCAUUUCCGAAUAGCACGUAGUAGCAACAUCUAUAAGAUGACAUAAAUAUUUGUAAAGAACGCACGGAUCUGAAAGUUUCAGAACCGUUGACUAAAACCUCUCUCACGAGCAAGACGUGAUCAGACCCCAUAACUAUAUGGGUGUUGGAUUCGUUGGAAUCACAUGGUGAUGUGAACUAGAUUAUUGACUCUAGUGCAAGUGGGAGACUGUUGGAAAUAUGCCCUAGAGGCAAUAAUAAAUUAGUUAUUAUUAUAUUUCUUAGUUCAUGAUAAUCGUUUAUUAUCCAUGUUAUAAUUGUAUUGAUUGGGAACACAAUACUUGUGUGGGUACAUAGACAAAACACUGUCCCUAGUAAGCCUCUAGUUGACUAGCUCGUUGAUCAAAGAUGGUCAAGGUUUCCUGGCCAUAGGCAAGUGUUGUCACUUGAUAACGGGAUCACAUCAUUAGGAGAAUCAUGUGAUGGACUAGACCCAAACUAAAUAGACGUAGCAUGUUGAUCGUGUCAUUUUGUUGCUACUGUUUUCUGCGUGUCAAGUAUUUGUUCCUAUGACCAUGAGAUCAUAUAACUCACGGACACCGGAGGAAUGCUUUGUGUGUAUCAAACCUCGCAACGUAACUGGGUGACUAUAAAGAUGCUCUACAGGUAUCUCCGAAGGUGUUCGUUGAGUUAGUAUGGAUCGAGACUGGGAUUUGUCGCUCCGUGUGACGGAGAGGUAUCUCGGGGCCCACUCGGUAAUACAACAUCACACACAAGCCUUGCAAGCAAUGUGACUUAGUGUAAGUUACGGGAUCUUGUAUUACGGAACGAGUAAAGAGACUUGCCGGUAAACGAGAUUGAAAUAGGUAUGCGGAUACUGACGAUCGAAUCUUGGGCAAGUAACAUACCGAAGGACAAAGGGAAUGACAUACGGGAUUAUAUGAAUCCUUGGCACUGAGGUUCAAACGAUAAGAUCUUCAUAGAAUAUGUAGGAUCCAAUAUGGGCAUCCAGGUCCCGCUAUUGGAUAUUGACCGAGGAGUCUCUCGGGUCAUAUCUACAUAGUUCUCGAACCCGCAGGGUCUGCACACUUAAGGUUCGACGUUGUUUUAUGCGUAUUUGAGUUAUAUGGUUGGUUACCGAAUGUUGUUCGGAGUCCCAGAUGAGAUCACGGACGUCACGAGGGUUUCCGGAAUGGUCCGGAAACGAAGAUUGAUAUAUAGGAUGACCUCAUUUGAUUACCGGAAGGUUUUCGGAGUUACUGGGAAUGUACCGGGAAUGACGAAUGGGUUCCGGGAGUUCACCGGGGGGGCAACCCACCCCGGGGAAGCCCAUAGGCCUUGAGGGUGGCACACCAGCCCUUAGUGGGCUGGUGGGACAGCCCAAAAGGCUCUAUGCGCCAAGGAGAAGAAAAUCAAGAGAGAAAGAAAAAAAAAAGGAGGAGGUGGGAAGGAAGGGGGACUCCCUCCCACCAAACCUAGUCCAACUCGGUUUGGGGGGGGGAGAGUCCUCCCCCUUGGACUCGGCCGACCCCCUUGGGGCUCCUUGAGCCCCAAGGCAAGGUCCCCUCCCUCCCACCUAUAUAUACGGAGGUUUUAGGGCUGAUUUGAGACGACUUUUCCACGGCAGCCCGACCACAUACCUCCACGGUUUUUCCUCUAGAUCGCGUUUCUGCGGAGCUCGGGCGGAGCCCUGCUGAGACAAGGUCAUCACCAACCUCCGGAGCGCCGUCACGCUGCCGGAGAACUCUUCUACCUCUCCGUCUCUCUUGCUGGAUCAAGAAGGCCGAGAUCAUCGUCGAGCUGUACGUGUGCUGAACGCGGAGGUGCCGUCCGUUCGGUACUAGAUCGUGGGACUGAUCGCGGGAUUGUUCGCGGGGCGGAUCGAGGGAUGUGAGGACGUUCCACUACAUCAACCGCGUUCACUAACGCUUCUGUUGUACGAUCUACAAGGGUACGUAGAUCACUCAUCCCCUCUCGUAGAUGGACAUCACCAUGAUAGGUCUUCGUGCGCGUAGGAAAAUUUUUGUUUCCCAUGCGACGUUCCCCAACAAUUUUCAAUGCUCACCUUGAAGUAUGGAUACCAUCUUGGGCUUCCUCAAAUCUUGGGUGGAGUCCGGCCAGAUGGUCUCCUAAUCAUCUCUCCUCUAAGCUCCCCAACAACAAAAAGCACCUACUUGAAGUACCUAGAGAUGGUCUCCAUUGAUCUCCUGAAAGUGUUAUGAAUGACCCUGAACCUUUAUUUAUGGCCAACAACAUGGAGGAACAUUGCCACUUGCUCUUCCACACAAGUGUUGAUGUUAUCUUGUAGCAGCCCCCUGAUCCUGAAGGUCUCGACAAGCCUGGCAAAUGGUGCUCUUUUCAUUCGAAGCAUCCAGAGAGCCUCGACGUCAUUGCCGUUGCAGAUGUAGUUCAGAUUUUGGAUCCUCUCUUGAUCCCGGAUAAACAUUGGACCAUAGCGGAUCAAAGGUCUCCCAACACGACGAACAACUCUCUGGUGCAUGAACAUGACCCAUGCCUCAAUCACACUUAUCAGUGUUGCUGCCUGAAAUAUCAGACUCAUCCGUGCGUCCAUAACCUAGUCGACAUCGAUGGUUCGUUCAGUGGGAAAUCGAUCUUACACCUUGCCUAACGACCUAACCACCGACCUAACAAAGGAGGGAGGGGGUGUUGCUUACCGACAUCGGAGACGAGGACGACGUAGGGGGGGGGCAUGGCCAACAGCAAGGGGAGCACCAGAUCCGUCGCAAACGUCGGUGCCUUUUCCGCCGCCGCCGCCUCUAGCGCAUAUCUGAAAUCGCAGUCGCCGCCGGUGGUGAGGCAGUAGGGAAGAAAGUGGUUAUGGGUGAGCGGAUAGAAAGAGGGGUGAGGCUAAUUUGGCGCCGGGAUGGCGUGCCAGAUUUCCCAUCUCGUGCCAUCCCCCUCGCCCUCGCGUCGCACCCGCCCGUGCGACCUCACGCCGCUCAGCCUGGCUCGCGAGAAACUGUCGAUCCGAACGUUUCCAGCGAGCCAUGCUUUGAGAAGCGUGCGAUGCAGACAUAACAGUGAAACCAGGAAAUCAAACAAGCAUCUUCCUUCCUGUGCGGAUCUGGUUAAGCUCGAUGCGGGAACCAAACACGUCCUAAAUAUCUCAUAUACUCCCUUCGUAAAUUAAUAUAAAAACGUUUAGAUCAUUACUUUGAUACGGUAUGGCGCACGGAAAUAAUGCGAUCCUUGGGGUUGGGGACCAGCACGGCCGAUAGGAAAACAGCGUGCCAUACCCAUCGCAUCCCGUGGUAAUAGCCACCGCAACGGAUAAGAACGCCACAACGGAUAAGACCGGCCAGCCAAGAGAAAAGAUCCAAGAAGCGCACUAUAAUAUCGUGAUCACCCCACGCCGUACCUGUCUGUCACCGUCCAUUCCCAUCCCAUCCCAUCCCACUCCACCAGUCCACACCGCAGCAGCACUCCAGUGAGCUCGAAACCGAGAGGGCAAGAAGAGGAGGAACCGAUACAGCACUACAGGCAACCAUGGAGGUGGUGACCGGCAGCAACGGCGGGAGGCUGAACCCGUGGGCGGAGCCCUUCGUGCCGGGGAGCUGGUGCCGCCCCGCCCCCGUGGAGGCUGCGGCGUCGGCGGAGGUCGAGGACUUCUCCCCCGAGUGGUGGCGCCUCGUCGCCUCCUCGCCGUCCU